AUAGGGAAACUCCGUGUCAAAGCGCCCAAUCUUGGGCCGUCUAUCGACAGGGAAUCGGGUUAAUAUUCCCGACCUUGCACACGGAGAUUGUCCUUAAUUGGACGCCAAUGUGGUAACACAAUCGAUUUCGGAGACGUCGGCGGAGGUUUCGGGAAGAGUUCUCUUUUCUUUGUAAAGACCGAAAUCCCUGGAAUCGGGUUAUCCGGAGAUAGGGAUUAAGGGUCUGUAAAGCACUGCGGUUCUUGUGGUGUCCGAAACGCUUCUGUCGGCCCUUGAAAAUCCGAAGGAGAUGGUAUAAUUUUCGUGGCAAGCCGUACCCAUAUCCGCAGCAGGUCUCCAAGG
Molecule: ribosomal RNA, 342 nt
Filed under: uncultured Symbiodinium
Lineage: Eukaryota; Dinophyceae; Suessiales; Symbiodiniaceae
Description: partial Eukaryotic large subunit ribosomal RNA
Rfam family: Eukaryotic large subunit ribosomal RNA
Source: RNAcentral